Pelobates cultripes (western spadefoot toad) is the source of this 466-nucleotide non-coding RNA. Lineage: Eukaryota; Metazoa; Chordata; Amphibia; Anura; Pelobatidae. The record is from the annotation of a GenBank genome assembly.
GGAGAUCUUGCGGUGGGAGCUAAAAAGUGACCUGUGUCUGAUAUUGGUACAAGCCACCAUGCUCCCUCUGUAAAGUGAAGAAGCUCCAAGUCUAGACAGGGACCCUAGGUGUAAUAAUGUCACUUAAAACGUAACCUGGCUCUUAGUAGUAAUGGUGCUUGGAGUGACCCUUUAAAUGCAAUGGAUAGCUGGAGAAUUAUGGGAGUUAUAGUUAAGAAACAGCUGAGGAGAUGUCUGCACUAUAACAUUAAAGUGGUUGUCACACCUCGAGUCCCUCGAUGCCAUUCCUCCAUUCAGUGUUAAACCAUACUGUAAUGGAUUACCAUUCAGUGUGGGGUUUGUACAACCACAGCUUGGUCGCUUUAUGCUGCUUGGGCUAAUGCUUCUCCUUUAGCAUGAACAGCCAUGGGUGGUAGUGAUUGACUGAGAGCAUCAGCUGUUUUCUUUAAGCCUAGCCCAGCCACCC